UACGUAGGGGGCAAGCGUUGUCCGGAUUUAUUGGGCGUAAAGAGCGUGUAGGCGGCCAGACAGGUCCGUUGUGAAAACUCGAGGCUCAACCUCGAGACGUCGGCGGAAACCAUCUGGCUAGAGUCCGGAAGAGGAGAGUGGAAUUCCUGGUGUAGCGGUGAAAUGCGCAGAUAUCAGGAAGAACACCCGUGGCGAAGGCGGCUCUCUGGGACGGUACUGACGCUGAGACGCGAAAGCGUGGGGAGCGAACAGG
RNAcentral lists this ribosomal RNA (253 nucleotides) under uncultured bacterium. Its description in RNAcentral is "partial 16S ribosomal RNA". It matches the Rfam family "Bacterial small subunit ribosomal RNA", at positions 524 to 776 of the family's 1533-position model. The record is from RNAcentral.